Molecule: ribosomal RNA, 506 nt
Filed under: uncultured bacterium
Lineage: Bacteria
Description: partial 16S ribosomal RNA
Rfam family: Bacterial small subunit ribosomal RNA
Source: RNAcentral
AGUGAACGCUGGCGGCAGGCCUAACACAUGCAAGUCGAACGGCAGCACAGCAGUAGCAAUACUGUGGGUGGCGAGUGGCGGACGGGUGAGGAAUGCAUCGGAAUCUGCCUAUUUGUGGGGGAUAACGUAGGGAAACUUACGCUAAUACCGCAUACGACCUACGGGUGAAAGUGGGGGACCGCAAGGCCUCACGCAGAUAGAUGAGCCGAUGCCGGAUUAGCUAGUUGGCGGGGUAAAGGCCCACCAAGGCGACGAUCCGUAGCUGGUCUGAGAGGAUGAGCAGCCACACUGGAACUGAGACACGGUCCAGACUCCUACGGGAGGCAGCAGUGGGGAAUAUUGGACAAUGGGCGCAAGCCUGAUCCAGCCAUGCCGCGUGAGUGAAGAAGGCCUUCGGGUUGUAAAGCUCCUUUGUCCGGAAAGAAAAGCUUCGGGUUAAUAACCCGGGGUCAUGACGGUACCGGAAGAAUAAGCACCGGCUAACUUCGUGCCAGCCGCCGCGGUAA